UAUCAUGGAGCUAAUCAUUUUUAUGUUUUAUCAUGUUUCAGAGAUGCACCAGGACAUUUAGCCAGGACAGAUAUUAAUAUAUCUGAUGCUGAGGAUCGGGAUCCACCUGAAACAAAUCCAGAAAAAAAACUUCUUGCUACAGAGAGGAGACAGACAUUACAUUACCUGACAUCGUAGCAAAGCUGUCGCUUCCUGUUGAUCAUAAAAGAGUCCGCUGGUUCAACGUCUCAAGGGGCUAAUGUUUGGGAUGGGGCAGUCAAGAGGUGUCAAGGGUACAACAUAUUCUGAAACCUGUGACAUGCUGGUCCAAUUUACUGAUGAUACUGGUGGUCUGGAAGAGGGAACUGACACUGGUGGUCCAAGACGAGAGUUUUUAACUCUACUAAUGAAACGCCUAAAAGACCGGCCCAUUUUUGAUGGACCAGAAGGACAUCAGUUCUCGGUCUACAAUGCAAAUGGCCAGCCUUCAUUCAAAGCACCAAUUCAUUUAAUAACUGAUUGAGAAAUAGGGAAAGCUUUGCAAGAGAUUGAGAAUGCUGCGUCAUUGGAUGCUCUGCAAGAAUGUCUGAUGAGACACAGCACAAGGUUACGGACUACUGUGGAAGAAAAGAAAGAAAUCAUGUCAGACUACCUCCAAUGGUAUAGACAGCAGGUAAAGAGCACCUACAGACUGGCCAAAGACUGGCCAAAAACUAAAGAUGUCCCUGCUUCAGAGGUUUUUUUUCCAGGAGGGUUCUGGUCCCCGAUCCCUCUCAGAGGAAUCCCUUCCUCUCCCUCUUUUUGAUCCUUUGGUUCUUCUGUGAGAAGAGAAGCUCCAAUGAUGAGACUAUCUGCCCCCAUGCCCUCCACAACCUCCAACAAUACAUCCUAAUAAUCAUUUGGCUUACCUUGGUCUCCAGCUCUUCCAUCCACCGCCUGCACUGGCCCGUUGUGAGCCACCGGAGCAUCUGGGUCGCUCUGCCUCACAUCUUCAAAACGUCGACCACAGGGAAAAGAUAAGAGGAAGGGACACCUUCCAUAAAAACCUCCAGCUGAAAGAGGAAGAAGAUGGAAUAAUGCACACUUUCCAGGUAGAAAAGGUCUAGACCACACUCUAUGAUUUACAGAGCCAACGAUUGCAUUUUAAGGUUAGGUAAUAGUAGAUAGUUACAUCAAGGUUUGGUCUGUGACAGGACACAAACUAUAUCUUCUAGCAUUCUCCAAAAUAAACCUAAUGUCCAGCAUCUCUGCACUGGUGCAGGAUGUUUUUAAGUUUACUGGCAACACCUGUCAGUGACGUAGGUUUGGGUCAGACAAACAACUUUGUGUCUCUUUAAAUGGUUAAGCAUCAGUAAUAAAAAGCUGAAAAAUGUAUAACUUACGGAUCACCCCAGCGAUGAUGGCUAAGGCUGUGACGGCUAUGACUAUGACAGCUAUGACUAUGCCGGCGAUGGCCCCGCCAGACAAAGUGUUGGUAGAGCCAGUGCUGUUACCAUCUGAAAGAAUGUAGGAGAGAUAUUAACAUUAGUGUUACUGCAAACUCCCAACAUUACACCGAUCUGUUCAUCUGUUUUCUCUACCAGCUGUUCAGACUAUCCCUCCAGGCUUUUGGCGAGAGGCAGGAACACAAAAAAAGACAAGUUUUUGAUCAGGGGGAAGCGUACACCAGCUGAUAGAACAACUCUGAUAUUACAAACCAUUCUGACAGGUUUUUAAAUGGUUCUCAUCCACCGGUUAACAGACCUAGAUAACUCCUUUAGUAACCGGGGUAAACUCGGAUUACACAUCUCGCGCAUUCUCCGUAGGUUAUAACUGCCCCCACCCUACUCCGCUGCAAUGGGUUUUGACCUGGACAUAGAAGAGAGCAGUUGGAAGCAACGGUGCUAAAAACAAGAGCAACAACGUCACUUUACAACCUUUAAACCCACUGAGGACUUCGCCACGGCAAGAACUAUCAACAAGACCCGUUUCUGGACCGACCAGGAGACUCAUUUCUCCCCGCUUUCCAAGUUGUUAGAAUCUCUCUCAUUGUGGUAGAAAUGACCUUUUAGAAUAUUCUCCUGAAACAUUAAAACAAUCAACUCUCGGAGAAAAUGACUGAACUGAAUAAACUUGGGUCGCAAAGUGCUUUACAGUUACAAUAAAUAAUAAAAUUCAUCUUUGAGAAAAUAUGUAAACUUGUAAUAACACAGGUCCAAUAAUAAUGAGUUAUGGGGCUUCAUUUAUAAAACUGUGCGGCGACGAAAUAUAGGAUGUGAGAACGCACAGAAAUAUUCUGAAUUAUAAAACGCCGGUUUCCCUUUUAUAAAUCACAACCGACUCUAAAUGUGGCACAGCUUUGGCAGCUUUAUGUCUUAU
Molecule: long non-coding RNA, 2337 nt
Organism: Perca flavescens (yellow perch)
Lineage: Eukaryota; Metazoa; Chordata; Actinopteri; Perciformes; Percidae
Exons: 7
Source: RefSeq, a predicted model, not a curated record